AUUGAACGCUGGCGGCAGGCCUAACACAUGCAAGUCGAACGAGUGGCGGACGGGUGAGUAAUGUCUGGGAAACUGCCUGAUGGAGGGGGAUAACUACUGGAAACGGUAGCUAAUACCGCAUACCAUCGGAUGUGCCCAGAUGGGAUUAGCUAGUAGGUGGGGUAAGGGCUCACCUAGGCGACGAUCCCUAGCUGGUCUGAGAGGAUGACCGGCGACACGUGAACUGAGACACGGUCCGAACUCCUACGGGAGGCAGCAGUGGGGAAUGUUGCGCAAUGGGCGCAAGCCUGAUGCAGCCGUGCCGCGUGUAUGAAGAAGGCCUUCGGGUUGUAGAGGACGUUCAGCGGGGAGGCGUUACCCGCAGAAGAAGCACCGGCUAACUCCGUGCCAGCAGCCGCGGUAAUAG
Molecule: ribosomal RNA, 406 nt
Filed under: uncultured bacterium
Lineage: Bacteria
Description: partial 16S ribosomal RNA
Rfam family: Bacterial small subunit ribosomal RNA
Source: RNAcentral